GACGAACGCUGGCGGCGUGCUUAACACAUGCAAGUCGAACGGAAAGGCCCUGCUUUUGUGGGGUGCUCGAGUGGCGAACGGGUGAGUAACACGUGAGUAACCUGCCCUUGACUUUGGGAUAACUUCAGGAAACUGGGGCUAAUACCGGAUAGGAGCUCCUGCUGCAUGGUGGGGGUUGGAAAGUUUCGGCGGUUGGGGAUGGACUCGCGGCUUAUCAGCUUGUUGGUGGGGUAGUGGCUUACCAAGGCUUUGACGGGUAGCCGGCCUGAGAGGGUGACCGGCCACAUGGGGACUGAGUUACGGCCCAGACUCCUACGGGAGGCAGCAGUGGGGAAUAUUGCACAAUGGGCGGAAGCCUGAUGCAGCAACGCCGCGUGCGGGAUGACGGCCUUCGGGUUGUAAACCGCUUUCGCCUGUGACGAAGCGUGAGUGACGGUAAUGGGUAAAGAAGCACCGGCUAACUACGUG
This 468-nucleotide ribosomal RNA is filed under the name uncultured bacterium. RNAcentral's name for it is "partial 16S ribosomal RNA". It matches the Rfam family "Bacterial small subunit ribosomal RNA", at positions 28 to 507 of the family's 1533-position model. The record is from RNAcentral.